AUUUGAUGAUGUGGACAUCUAAUAAGUAAAGCAUUAAAACAAUCUCAAUAUUCAAAUAAAGAUUCUCUUGUAUGUUGUUUGAUUCUGCAUAUUUCUUUUAUCAUGAU
Molecule: small nucleolar RNA, 107 nt
Organism: Andrographis paniculata
Lineage: Eukaryota; Viridiplantae; Streptophyta; Magnoliopsida; Lamiales; Acanthaceae
Source: RefSeq, a predicted model, not a curated record